RNAcentral lists this ribosomal RNA (253 nucleotides) under uncultured bacterium. RNAcentral describes it as "partial 16S ribosomal RNA". It matches the Rfam family "Bacterial small subunit ribosomal RNA", at positions 524 to 776 of the family's 1533-position model. The record is from RNAcentral.
UACAGAGGUCUCAAGCGUUGUCCGGAUUUAUUGGGCGUAAAGGGUGCGUAGGCGGUGCGGUAAGUCGGGUGUGAAAUCUCGGAGCUUAACUCCGAAACUGCAUUCGAUACUGCCGUGCUUGAGGACUGGAGAGGAGACUGGAAUUUACGGUGUAGCGGUGAAAUGCGUAGAGAUCGUAAGGAAGACCAGUGGCGAAGGCGGGUCUCUGGACAGUUCCUGACACUGAGGCACGAAGGCCAGGGGAGCAAACGGG